AGAGUUUGAUCCUGGCUCAGAACGAACGCUGGCGGCAUGCCUAACACAUGCAAGUCGAACGGACGUCUUCGGACGUUAGUGGCGCACGGGUGCGUAACGCGUGGGAAUCUGCCCUUAGGGGCGGAAUAACAGUUAGAAAUGACUGCUAAUACCGGAUAAUGACUUCGGUCCNUGNAUUUAUCGCCUAGGGAUGAGCCCGCGUAGGAUUAGCUUGUUGGUGAGGUAAAAGCUCACCAAGGCGACGAUCCUUAGCUGGUCUGAGAGGAUGAUCAGCCACACUGGGACUGAGACACGGCCCAGACUCCUACGGGAGGCAGCAGUGGGGAAUAUUGGACAAUGGGCGAAAGCCUGAUCCAGCAAUGCCGCGUGAGUGAUGAAGG
Molecule: ribosomal RNA, 380 nt
Filed under: uncultured bacterium
Lineage: Bacteria
Description: bacterial SSU rRNA
Rfam family: Bacterial small subunit ribosomal RNA
Source: RNAcentral